CGUUGAUUAAGGAGUUGUUCC
Molecule: microRNA, 21 nt
Filed under: Rosa chinensis
Lineage: Eukaryota; Viridiplantae; Streptophyta; Magnoliopsida; Rosales; Rosaceae
Description: sRNA RchiOBHm_Chr3g0492735
Source: RNAcentral